Molecule: long non-coding RNA, 380 nt
Filed under: Brachypodium distachyon (stiff brome)
Lineage: Eukaryota; Viridiplantae; Streptophyta; Magnoliopsida; Poales; Poaceae
Description: long non-coding RNA (BDIS_LNC004951)
Source: RNAcentral
AGCAGCUAUGGCUCGUGAUGAGCCAACCCGGGCACUGGUGGUGGAUGUUGGGUUUGGCCAAAAAUCAAGACAUGAAGACGCACACGCAGAAACAAUCACACAAUUAUUUGGUCAAGAACGUGUAUCGUGUCCUAUAUUUUUUCUUUAUUUUUUUCUCAAAUCACACGACCUUAUUACAAGCCACGGUAUGCAUGUACAUAUAUAAGACCAAUGCCAAGCUACUAGUCCUACUUGCACACGGACAAAAAUCCUAAACUCAGAAGAACACAAGCAACACGUAGGAACUUCAAACCUAGUACUAUUCGGACACUACCAUGUGAACUAACACAUGGUACUCCUGCGUAGACUCAAACUCAAGAUUACUCCUAACAAUCUCCCCC